GCCAGACCUGCUGAGUUUUUCCAGGAGUCACUCAAAAUUGAAUUCAAAAUUGAGUGGCAGGGUGACAAUCAUUCUGGCCAUCCCUCACAGGAUAAUCCAUUGUCACAAAGGGCAUCAUCUCCCAGGCUCUCCCCAAUGCAGUUAAACAUCUACCUGUGGUCAUCAGAUUGAAGUGACAUUCAGCUGAAAUGCGAAGGUCAAGACUCACUUUCUAUAUUCACUGAUGAAGACUUGGAUGAAAAACUGGAAAAGCCAAUCAGGAUUGGUGGAACCAGAACAAGUUGUCAUGUUCAGCGUAGCAGCAGAGAAUGGAGAUGGAAAUUUGGGAGGAUAAACAGCUUUCCUUUCAUUGUUCACAACAUAUCUGAACUUCUCUGUAAGACUGCUGACUUGAACUCAUGGGCCUCCCACUAUGCUUUAUUUAAAUAACCCCUCAAUUUAACCUGACCACAAGAAAUGAGUUUCACCCCUAUUCCUUAUCCAAAUGAAUACUUAACUGAGAUAAUAAUAAAUUAUUUAGUAUUAAUCAGUAGGCAGUUACUUAUGUUUUUGAAAUAGUUACAAUACCAAAGAAUAACGGUGAAAAUUUCUAAACUAUCCUACCAGAAAUGAUUAAAACAAUUUUGAGAGUUUUGUGUGAAAACCUCCAGUGAUUUUAAGAAAGCAGUGCUGGACCUCCAGUAAAGUGAAUUAUGUAAAUGAGAAGCUUUGGAGUUAAAACAAUCAGUGGCCUGUAUCCAUAGGUAGUGAGCUAUCCUGUGACAUAUUUAAGUCCCAGCUCAAGAUGGCACACAUGAUGAAAUAGAGCAUGCCAUACUUCACCGGCACUGUUCUGACCUCCAUUUCACAAAAUUAAUAUAGAAGCAUUGUAGAAAGUGCAAAAGAGGGUUUAUUAGGUUAAUGCCAGAACUGAGAGUAUAACGAUCUCUAACCUCCAGCACAUCCAAAUCUCUGUUGCCUCCAUCCUUUCCUGUACCAAGUCUCAAUCAUCUGCUAACUUGCAUUGGUUUUUGACCUGCAACUGUCUCCAAUUUAAAAUUCCCAUAUUUGUGUUUAAAUCCCUUCGUGACCCCCCUGCCCUUCCCUAAUUUUGAAAUAUCCUCCAAUCCUCCAAUCCCCUCCAAACUCUCUGUUCCUCAGAAUCUGGCAUCUUAUGGAUACCUUUCAUUUUGUUCCAUUGUUGGCCACUCUGCCUUCAGACACCUUAGCCCUACUCUCUGGAAUCCCCCAUUUACAUUCCUCAAUUUCUCUGCUUCCCUCUCCUCCUAUCAGAGCCCUCCGUAACAAUCACCCUUUUUUAACCAAACUUUUUGUCACCUCUCUUCAUAUCUCCCUCGUUUCAGAGUGCAAUCAUUUUUUUUCUGUCUCUGCAAAGCACCUUGGGGUGUUCUUCUACACCACAUGUGCAAAAUCUUCUUGUUCGUUUUCCUCUUUUUUAAGUAGUGCUGUGUGGAAAUAUCCACCUAAGUAUGAAGACCGGCCUUUGGUUUAGCAUCCAUCCCAUCUGACAAUGUAACACUCCCUCAGUAUUGCACUGGAGUGUCAGUUUACUGUAAGUGAUUAAACCCUGGACAUGAACCCACAACUGGUUCGCACCCAGAGGGAAGAGGUUAUGAUCAGGUUACACCAUUUAGUUAGAUAUCAAGCGUAUUCUAAUCAUAAGAUCACCAGCUUCUAACUGAAUUAGAAUCUUCUUGAAUUAUUGAGUAUUUAAAUCCUUAUAUUCACAUUGAUAAUGGAAGCAAUCUUUGUAAGCUUGUCACUCUCAUAGUUGCAGCUUCCCAAAGUGUAGCCAUUUGAGUGCCCACUGCGCGCUCCAUAUAUUACAAAAACAACUUGUAUUUGUAUAGUGCCUUAUGACAUAAAACUUCCCAGGGUGUUUCAGAAGAGCUUAAGCAGACAAAAUUUGGCACUGAGUCACAUAAAAUUAUAUUGGGACAAGUGACAAAAAUUCUUGUCCAAGAGCUAGGUUAUAAAGAGUGACUUAAAGGAGAACAGUGAGGUAGAGAGGCAGAGAAGUUUAGAGAGAAAAUUCCAGAGCUUUAGGGUCUAGCCAACCGAAAAUAUGGGCGCCACUGGUGGAGUGAAGGAAAUUGGGGAUGUUCAGGAGGCUGGAAUUGGAAAAGCGCAGAGAUCUCAAACAACUUUAUGAGUUUGCAGAGAUAGAAAGGGACACUUAAGUAUAUUAUUAACUUUGAGGCAAGUAUGAAUGCACCAGUACACAUGGAGCGCAAGAUGGCUUCUAUAGCUUAAGUGUGAACGAAUCCAGUAUGUUGGAUUGCACACCCAGCUGUGAAAUACACUUUCCAGCUGAACUAUCCAACUGUAGCAAAACCACCUUACUGAAAUGAUAUCGAAAGUCCACCUCAGUUCAUUCAUGAACUGUUUCAAUUACACUAUGAAAGAGCAGGCCCUGUGGUCACUUAGCCUUCCCAAUUGCUUGAAAUUACAUGUUAGUUGAAAUUAAAUAAGAAGUUACAACAAUUAAAGAUAUUUAUUUACUGAGCUGGAACUUUGGAAUGUGACCAACUGACAAAAGCUAAUUACAGUUAAAGCUCUUGUAUAUAAAAUAUAUUUGUCAAUAAACAAGUGCAUCCUUGAUUAGCUAGAUACUUCACAAUUCAAAUCUAUUCUUACCCUCAGGAACCUGAUGAGACUGUAUCAUAUAGACUGGGAUUGUUUAAUAACAAUGGCAAGAUCACCAAAAGUAUUAUAUCCCUUGUUUCAUUGAAGGGCACUUCAGAUUUUCAUGAGGAAUAUUGUCUAGUCGUUAUAUUUCAUAGCCAAUCUGACUGUAGGAUAUUAUUACUAUAAAGAUUUCUAGCAAUAUAA
Carcharodon carcharias (great white shark) is the source of this 2832-nucleotide long non-coding RNA. RefSeq lists it as uncharacterized. The transcript is spliced from 3 exons. NCBI's taxonomy places the organism in Eukaryota, Metazoa, Chordata, Chondrichthyes, Lamniformes, Lamnidae. The record is from RefSeq and is a predicted model, not a curated record.